Molecule: ribosomal RNA, 372 nt
Filed under: uncultured organism
Description: partial 16S ribosomal RNA
Rfam family: Bacterial small subunit ribosomal RNA
Source: RNAcentral
GUAGGUGGCAAGCGUUGUCCGGAGUUAUUGGGCGUAAAGCGCGCGCAGGCGGUUCUUUAAGUCUGAUGUGAAAGCCCACGGGCUCAACCGUGGAGGGUCAUUGGAAACUGGAGAACUUGAGUACAGAAGAGGAAAGCGGAAUUCCACGUGUAGCGGUGAAAUGCGUAGAGAUGUGGAGGAACACCAGUGGCGAAGGCGGCUUUCUGGUCUGUAACUGACGCUGAGGCGCGAAAGCGUGGGGAGCAAACAGGAUUAGAUACCCUGGUAGUCCACGCCGUAAACGAUGAGUGCUAAGUGUUAGGGGGUUUCCGCCCCUUAGUGCUGCAGCUAACGCAUUAAGCACUCCGCCUGGGGAGUACGGCCGCAAGGCUG